UGGGGAAUAUUGCACAAUGGGCGAAAGCCUGAUGCAGCAACGCCGCGUGAGUGAUGAAGGCCUUCGGGUUGUAAAGCUCUGUCUUUUGGGACGAUAAUGACGGUACCAAAGGAGGAAGCCACGGCUAACUACGUGCCAGCAGCCGCGGUAAUACGUAGGUGGCAAGCGUUGUCUGGAUUUACUGGGCGUAAAGGAUGCGUAGGCGGAUUUUUAAGUGAGGUGUGAAAACCCUAAGCUUAACUUGGGGACUGCAUUUCAUACUGGAAAUCUAGAGUGCGGGAGAGGAGAAUGGAAUUCCUAGUGUAGCGGUGAAAUGCGUAGAGAUUAGGAAGAACACCAGUGGCGAAGGCGAUUCUCUGGACCGUAACUGACGCUGAGGCAUGAAAGCGUGGGUAGCAAACAGGAUUAGAUACCCUGGUAGUCCACGCCGUAAACGAUGAGUACUAGGUGUAGGAGGUAUCGACCCCUUCUGUGCCGCAGUUAACACAAUAAGUACUCCGCCUGGGAAGUACGAUCGCAAGAUUAAAACUCAAAUGAAUUGACGGGGUCAUAGCUGUUUUCCU
This 563-nucleotide ribosomal RNA is filed under the name uncultured bacterium. Its description in RNAcentral is "partial 16S ribosomal RNA". It matches the Rfam family "Bacterial small subunit ribosomal RNA", at positions 355 to 1375 of the family's 1533-position model. The record is from RNAcentral.